Molecule: ribosomal RNA, 883 nt
Filed under: uncultured Actinomycetales bacterium
Lineage: Bacteria; Bacillati; Actinomycetota; Actinomycetes; Actinomycetales
Description: bacterial SSU rRNA
Rfam family: Bacterial small subunit ribosomal RNA
Source: RNAcentral
GCAAGUCGAGCGAUGAAACACCUCUCCGGUGUGAAUUAGCGGCGAACGGCUGUGGAACACGUGAAGAAUCUGCCUUCAACUCUGGGAUAACUCCGGGAACCCGGGGCUAAUACCGGAUAUGAGCCUUGAUCGCAUGAUCGGGGCUGGAAAGUUUUUCGGUUGAAGAUGACUUCGCGGCCUAUCAGCUUGUUGGUGAGGUAAUGGCUCACCAAGGCGACGACGGGUAGCCGGCCUGAGAGGGCGACCGGCCACACUGGGACUGAGACACGGCCCAGACUCCUACGGGAGGCAACAGUGGGGAAUAUUGGGCAAUGGAGGAAACUCUGACCCAGCGACGCCGCGUGAGGGAUGAAGGCCUUCGGGUUGUAAACCUCUUUCAGUAGGGAAGAAGCGAAAGUGACGGUACCUACAGAAGAAGCACCGGCUAACUAUGUGCCAGCAGCCGCGGUAAUACAUAGGGUGCAAGCGUUGUCCGGAAUUAUUGGGCGUAAAGAGCUCGUAGGUGGUUCGAUACGUCGGAUGUGAAAAUCAGGGGCUCAACCCCUGACCUGCAUCCGAUACGGUCGAGCUGGAGUUUGGUAGGGGAGACUGGAAUUCCUGGUGUAGCGGUGGAAUGCGCAGAUAUCAGGAGGAACACCGAUGGCGAAGGCAGGUCUCUGGGCCAAUACUGACACUGAGGAGCGAAAGCGUGGGGAGCGAACAGGAUUAGAUACCCUGGUAGUCCACGCCGUAAACGGUGGGCGCUAGUUGUGCGAACCUUCCACGGUUUGUGCGACGCAGCUAACGCAUUAAGCGCCCCGCCUGGGGAGUACGAUCGCAAGAUUAAAACUCAAAGGAAUUGACGGGGCCCCGCACAAGCAGCGGAGCAUGCGGCUUAAUUCGA